This is a long non-coding RNA of Homo sapiens (human), 359 nucleotides long. Lineage: Eukaryota; Metazoa; Chordata; Mammalia; Primates; Hominidae. The record is from Ensembl.
GGUGAUGAAGAAGAUUAAGAAUGAUUCCAUAACGGUCAGUACAGUAUUUCACAUUCACUGACCUUUUGUGUAAUUUGAUAUGCUCCUUCAGGAAGUCAGCCAUGCUAAACCAUCAUUCAAGAAUGAGUGUGAAAUCAAGACAUUUCAGCAAUGCAAUUCUAAGGAAGUUUACCAUCUGGAGACCCAUUGAAAAUCCACAGAGGUGUGGGACACAAGAAACAAUCGUGAGCAGGCAAGUGGGAAAUUUAGUUAAUUUACUUUUCAAAAGCUUACAUUAUAUAAAAAGUAAAAUAAAAUCUCUACAUAAUAAAAAAAACAACUUAAAAAUGGAGAGAAGUCCAACAAGGGUCUCACUCUGU